CUUAUUUUUGCACAGUUUCAAUCUUUAAGUAAAUCUUUAUUCAUGUUUACAUUAAAAUUGAGACCAAAUAAUAGAAAAUCUAAUUCAGACGACUGUGAUCCUGUUUGACGCUUAAUCAGGUAGAAAAUAAUAAUCAGUAACAGACAUUCCGCUUUAUUUAAGUUUUAAACCACAGAGAAAUAAAAUAAGAAGCUUCCUAAUAUCUGAAACACAAAGAACGAUCUGUGAUUAAAUGUAGACAACAGAAGUAGAGACAUUAAUGAGACAAAGAACGCCUUCAGGAUGUUAAAUGAACUCAUAUUAGUUCUUUAGUGUUUAUUGAUAAGAAUGUAGCAGGUUUCUAAUGGUUCUAAAUGAUUAGUAGCAUGGACACAUUCUGCAUGUAGUUAACUAAACUUUAAAAGUGUUUUUGUGACGUAAUAAAUCAAAUCACAUCAUGAACAUAACCAUCUAAAGUCAAAAAUCACAGAAAAAAACACAUUUUAUGAAAUAUUAAGUCAAAUUAAAUGUACAGAAGCCCAUUUCUGACAAAAAAGAAAAAACAAUAAUAAAAAGCAAAACAUUUGACUUAAUGUUCCAUAAGUUUGAUUUAAAAUCUGCAAAUUUUGACUUAAUUAACUUCAAAAUUUAGAUUUACUGAAUAAUAAAUGUAACACAAUGAUCUAACUCUGACUUUUUAAGUGUUUUACUUCAUGUUUAAUAACUUUUAGUCGUGUUUCCACAGUUUCAUCGCCGUCUUUAUCUGUAAAUACUCAACAGAACGGGUUUUAUUUGUGAAUAUUGCUCGUUUAGGUCACUUUAUUUUUAAAUUAAUUAAUGUCAGUAUAUAUUCUAAAUCUUCAUGGAAGCUGCAUGCUAAUAUCUCUGCACCAAUAUCUGAUUAUUUUUAUUGACUUUAGUUUUUUCUGAGAACAGUUUUGAUGCCUGUUUUAUCAUUUUUCUUAUGACUGAUUAAACUGUGGAUGUUAAUGAAUUCAAUGUAGCACAGAAACAACUGAUUAUUGGUUUAUUGAUGAACAAACUGUAUAUUUUCGGGAUUUAUUCUUCCGUAACUAACAGCAUCAACACAACUGAGUGCUUUAAGUGUUUGAAAUGUUUUUUUUGUUGUUGUAAAAGUUCUGAUAUAUUUAAGUGAAUAACUUUUAUUUGCACUAAAGUUCAAGAAACUUGAACUUGUGCAAAAGUGCAAAAUUCACUCAAAAAUCAAGCGUUAAAAAUAAAUCUGCGAAGUUUGGUACGAACGUUUUAUGUGUGAAAAAGUGUCUAACAUCUUGUCACCAAACCUGAUGGUUGUAAAAGUGAAACUAAGGGUGCUUUCACACCUACGUCUUUUAGUCCGCUUAAAGCGGACUGGAGUCCGCAACACCUGCAAGUACGGUUCGUUUGGGCUGGUGUGAAAGCAUACCAGAUUUUUUUGGUUCGGACUAACGAACCGCACCGAGACCACUUUCGGGAGGUGGUCUCGGUCCGCUUCUAUGUGAACUCCAGUUCGGUUUGCUCCUGGUGAGAACACAAACCUGUCUCCAUUCGGACCGGCUUGAUGGCGCAGCAGACUUUUUGGUCUACGGGAGCUUCCGUAGCUUCCGGGAUUUUUCCCUCUUCACAUGCUGCGCCAAUCAGCGUACACCUACGUCAUCGUAAACGCCUUGUUUUCUAAACAGCGCCGCCAAACGACUGGGGGGAGAUAUAACAUUAAUUGGAGUAGGUUCAAUGGCGAAAACACUGGUGUGAAUGCGAACCGAACCAGUUGAAAAUAGCAACAUUGUAACAACUUUUGGGUCCAAACGAACCACUCUAGCAGACUAACAGGUGUGAAAGCACCCUAAUAGUGAUGAAAUAAUCGUCAAAACAAAAGAAAACACGACGACUUAGAGUAGCUGCUUAGUUUUCUAUAAAUAUUUAUCAUGUUAUUCGAAUAUCUACAAGCUUUAUUUAACGUUUUAUUGUCAUUUAAUUGUUAGUUUUCCACAAAUAUUCAAGGAGCGGUUUUAUAACUUCAUGUAUAAAUAAUACUGUAGAUUGUAGAUUCAUCACCUGAACAAAAAAAAGUUCCUGAAAGUCCCUCAAGCAUCUUCGAAAAACAAGCGUUUUGUUACCGAAAUGUACGAAUUUAGAGGAACCUAUGAAAGUUUCAAUAAUUUCUUCUUCGUGACGUUAGCUAGCCAUAGCCGUCGGUGUUGCAUGUUAGAUUUAGAGAUGAAGUGAAUUUGCAUGAAAGUAGAUUCAACCGCUGUAACAGCUUUAGCUUUAGCUAUAGCCUUAGCAUUAGUGUUAGCCGGCACUCAGUGGUAGCAUGAGCGCUGUAAUCCAACUCUUCCAUUAGCUAACCUCAACUGUUUACCUGUUUUGCUGUUAAAGUCUGAUAUUUCAAAAUCUACUCGUUUGUAAAGAGUUUCCUCCUGUGUGCAGGGUUAACCUAGCUUAGCAUAUGGAAUGGAAUUAGUAGCAACCUCUAGCUACUGUUGCUAUAAAAUGACUAGCUUGAUUGUCCGACAAUAAGUUAAUAUCACUAGUAAAUGUUGGCAGCUAUCCAACAUUAUGCUAGCAGUUUGUAGCUAACUGCUGUAAACAGUUAACCUAGCUUAGCACAAGAACAGGAAUUAGUAACAACCUCGAGAUAUUGUUGCUAUGAAAUGACUAGCUUGAUUGUCUGACAAGAAGUUUAUAUCGCUAGUUGAUGUUGGUAGCUAUCCAACAUUAUGCUAACAGUUUAUAGCCAGCUGCUGUAAACAGUUAGCCUUGCUUAGCAUAAGGACUGGAAUUAGUAGCAACCUCUAGCUACUGUUGUUAUAAAAUGACUAUCUUGAUUGUCCGACAAGAAGUUUAUAUCACUAGUUGAUGUUGGCAGCUAUCCAACAUUAUGCUAGCAGUUUGGAGCUAGCUGCUGUAAACAGUUAGCAUUAUCUAAUAGAUGUUUUAAUGGUUACAAACAUCAUGUUGGGCGGACUAGUGUAGUACAAUGACUGUAUUUGCCCCUUGGAGAUAGCUGUUAGCAGUGACGCUACCAUGAUAACUGGAUAAGCUUUUCUAACUAGUUAUUGUUGUUAGCUACAGUUAGCCUAUCCAACACUGUGCUAGUUUUAAUAGUUAUGUCAUUAGGUGAGCUGUUUGCAGCUAGUUGCUGUUAGGAUGGGUACAAGCAGAGUGUUUGGUGGCUAAUCUCUGUGGGGUUUAGCCUAGCUUAGCACAUGGACCGGAAUCAGGAAGAAGCAGCUGGCAGUGUUGCUACAAGAUGGCUAACGUGAUUAUUUUAUGACAUGUUUUAUAGCUAGUUAAUGUUGUGUUUUUUGUUUUGUUUUUUAGCUAUUUGCAGUUAACAGAUAUAAUCGGCUGUUCAUAGCUAGCUGCUGGUUGUUUGAUAGCAUUAUUAGCUGUCUGGCUAGCAAAGUAAAUCUGUAAGAAUCUAACAGUUCCACCUGUUUCCAGUCUUUGUGCUAAGCUACGCUAACAUGUCCUAGACCUGACACACAGAUAAAAACUGAAACAAGAAGGUUUUAGAGAUGUUUAAACUGCUCAGAUUAGCGUUUGUUCUGUGAGACUGUGUCUGUUAGCUUUGUGCUCGUUGCUGUCAGGUGAACUCUGACAUUUUGUCUUGAGGCUGUCUGAAGUGAUUUUCUGAUCUUUGUUCUGAUGUUUCUGCUGUCGUCAGAUCCAGAUUGUAUUUUUGUGUUUCAUGGACUAAAACAUUUUGUAAAAGAAUAAAUAAAUGAAUAAAUAAAGUUGAUUCUUCUGGUCUUUAAUGUGUUUGUGUCUUAUUGUGAAAGGUUCAACUUAAUAAAUGAGGAACAUUUAGAUUUAAUUUCGAAUAUUUCAUGUUUUGUAAAAUAAGUCACAGAUAUCAGCUAGUUAGUAAAAUUUUGCUUAUUUUUUUUCUUGUAAACUCAGUUUUUUGGCACUUCAGGGCGUCCGUACAAACACCAAUUUAAUCCGACGGAUGAAGAUGAUUCUGUUUUUUUUUUUUGUUUUUUUUUUUCAGUAUCUCUGCGUCUUCCUGCCGAAGCCUCUGAACUCCUUUGAGCCUCUGAUCAUGACGGUUAAAUUUAGUUUGUCUCUAAUUUUACUGUGAUGAUGACAGAAAUCUGAGCCCACAGAGAUUCUCAGAGUGUUUUUAUAGUAAGAGCCAUAAAAAUAUCUGCUGCUGUCAUGAUUCUGUUUAAAACAUGACGUCACUGGACUUUAGAAACACAAUAAACAUGUUAUUUACUGUCUUCUAUAUGUAGGACAGAAACUCACCAUUUUCUAUAUUUAAUAAUCUUAUUUUUAGUUAUUAAAUUAUAAAAUGUCAGAAAACGUUUAAAAAACUUUUAUCUUAGUUCAACUGAAAAUCACAAGCGAGAAGCUGCAACCAG
Long non-coding RNA from Amphiprion ocellaris (clown anemonefish), 4349 nucleotides. NCBI's taxonomy places the organism in Eukaryota, Metazoa, Chordata, Actinopteri, Pomacentridae. The record is from Ensembl.